This 509-nucleotide ribosomal RNA is filed under the name uncultured microorganism. RNAcentral describes it as "bacterial SSU rRNA". It matches the Rfam family "Bacterial small subunit ribosomal RNA", at positions 9 to 500 of the family's 1533-position model. The record is from RNAcentral.
GAGUUUGAUCCUGGCUCAGGAUGAACGCUGGCGGCGUGCCUAAUACAUGCAAGUCGAGCGAACGGACGAGAAGCUUGCUUCUCUGAUGUUAGCGGCGGACGGGUGAGUAACACGUGGGUAACCUACCUAUAAGACUGGGAUAACUCCGGGAAACCGGGGCUAAUACCGGAUAACACAUGAAACCGCAUGGUUUCAUGAUGAAAGACGGUCUUGCUGUCACUUAUAGAUGGAUCCGCGCUGCAUUAGCUAGUUGGUAAGGUAACGGCUUACCAAGGCAACGAUGCAUAGCCGACCUGAGAGGGUGAUCGGCCACACUGGAACUGAGACACGGUCCAGACUCCUACGGGAGGCAGCAGUAGGGAAUCUUCCGCAAUGGGCGAAAGCCUGACGGAGCAACGCCGCGUGAGUGAUGAAGGUCUUCGGAUCGUAAAACUCUGUUAUUAGGGAAGAACAUAUGUGUAAGUAACUGUGCACAUCUUGACGGUACCUAAUCAGAAAGCCACGGCUAA